Molecule: ribosomal RNA, 248 nt
Filed under: uncultured bacterium
Lineage: Bacteria
Description: partial 16S ribosomal RNA
Rfam family: Bacterial small subunit ribosomal RNA
Source: RNAcentral
UACGUAGGUGGCAAGCGUUGUUCGGAAUAACUGGGCGUAAAGGAUGCGUAGGCGGUUAAAUAAGUUAUAUGUUAAAUAUAUAGGCUUAACCUGUAGAAAGCAUAUAAAACUGUUUAACUAGAGUGCAGGAGAGGUAAGUGGAAUUCCUAGUGUAGCGGUGAAAUGCGUAGAGAUUAGGAAGAACACCAGUGGCGAAGGCGACUUACUGGACUGUAACUGACGCUGAGGCAUGAGAGCAUGGGGAGCAA